CGGGACACGUGGUAUCCUGUCUGAAUAUGGGGGGACCAUCCUCCAAGGCUAAAUACUCCUGACUGACCGAUAGUGAACCAGUACCGUGAGGGAAAGGCGAAAAGAACCCCGGCGAGGGGAGUGAAAAAGAACCUGAAACCGUGUACGUACAAGCAGUGGGAGCACGCUUAGGCGUGUGACUGCGUACCUUUUGUAUAAUGGGUCAGCGACUUAUAUUCUGUAGCAAGGUUAACCGAAUAGGGGAGCCGAAGGGAAACCGAGUCUUAACUGGGCGUUAAGUUGCAGGGUAUAGACCCGAAACCCGGUGAUCUAGCCAUGGGCAGGUUGAAGGUUGGGUAACACUAACUGGAGGACCGAACCGACUAAUGUUGAAAAAUUAGCGGAUGACUUGUGGCUGGGGGUGAAAGGCCAAUCAAACCGGGAGAUAGCUGGUUCUCCCCGAAAGCUAUUUAGGUAGCGCCUCGUGAAUUCAUCUCCGGGGGUAGAGCACUGUUUCGGCAAGGGGGUCAUCCCGACUUACCAACCCGAUGCAAACUGCGAAUACCGGAGAAUGUUAUCACGGGAGACACACGGCGGGUGCUAACGUCCGUCGUGAAGAGGGAAACAACCCAGACCGCCAGCUAAGGUCCCAAAGUCAUGGUUAAGUGGGAAACGAUGUGGGAAGGCCCAGACAGCCAGGAUGUUGGCUUAGAAGCAGCCAUCAUUUAAAGAAAGCGUAAUAGCUCACUGGUCGAGUCGGCCUGCGCGGAAGAUGUAACGGGGCUAAACCAUGCACCGAAGCUGCGGCAGCGACGCUGAUGCGUUGUUGGGUAGGGGAGCGUUCUGUAAGCCUGUGAAGGUGUGCUGUGAGGCAUGCUGGAGGUAUCAGAAGUGCGAAUGCUGACAUAAGUAACGAUAAAGCGGGUGAAAAGCCCGCUCGCCGGAAGACCAAGGGUUCCUGUCCAACGUUAAUCGGGGCAGGGUGAGUCGACCCCUAAGGCGAGGCCGAAAGGCGUAGUCGAUGGGAAACAGGUUAAUAUUCCUGUACUUGGUGUUACUGCGAAGGGGGGACGGAGAAGGCUAUGUUGGCCGGGCGACGGUUGUCCCGGUUUAAGCGUGUAGGCUGGUUUUCCAGGCAAAUCCGGAAAAUCAAGGCUGAGGCGUGAUGACGAGGCACUACGGUGCUGAAGCAACAAAUGCCCUGCUUCCAGGAAAAGCCUCUAAGCAUCAGGUAACAUCAAAUCGUACCCCAAACCGACACAGGUGGUCAGGUAGAGAAUACCAAGGCGCUUGAGAGAACUCGGGUGAAGGAACUAGGCAAAAUGGUGCCGUAACUUCGGGAGAAGGCACGCUGAUAUGUAGGUGAAGCGACUUGCUCGUGGAGCUGAAAUCAGUCGAAGAUACCAGCUGGCUGCAACUGUUUAUUAAAAACACAGCACUGUGCAAACACGAAAGUGGACGUAUACGGUGUGACGCCUGCCCGGUGCCGGAAGGUUAAUUGAUGGGGUCAGCGCAAGCGAAGCUCUUGAUCGAAGCCCCGGUAAACGGCGGCCGUAACUAUAACGGUCCUAAGGUAGCGAAAUUCCUUGUCGGGUAAGUUCCGACCUGCACGAAUGGCGUAAUGAUGGCCAGGCUGUCUCCACCCGAGACUCAGUGAAAUUGAACUCGCUGUGAAGAUGCAGUGUACCCGCGGCAAGACGGAAAGACCCCGUGAACCUUUACUAUAGCUUGACACUGAACAUUGAGCCUUGAUGUGUAGGAUAGGUGGGAGGCUUUGAAGUGUGGACGCCAGUCUGCAUGGAGCCGGCCUUGAAAUACCACCCUUUAAUGUUUGAUGUUCUAACGUUGACCCGUGAUCCGGGUUGCGGACAGUGUCUGGUGGGUAGUUUGACUGGGGCGGUCUCCUCCUAAAGAGUAACGGAGGAGCACGAAGGUUGGCUAAUCCUGGUCGGACAUCAGGAGGUUAGUGCAAUGGCAUAAGCCAGCUUGACUGCGAGCGUGACGGCGCGAGCAGGUGCGAAAGCAGGUCAUAGUGAUCCGGUGGUUCUGAAUGGAAGGGCCAUCGCUCAACGGAUAAAAGGUACUCCGGGGAUAACAGGCUGAUACCGCCCAAGAGUUCAUAUCGACGGCGGUGUUUGGCACCUCGAUGUCGGCUCAUCACAUCCUGGGGCUGAAGUAGGUCCCAAGGGUAUGGCUGUUCGCCAUUUAAAGUGGUACGCGAGCUGGGUUUAGAACGUCGUGAGACAGUUCGGUCCCUAUCUGCCGUGGGCGCUGGAGAACUGAGGGGGGCUGCUCCUAGUACGAGAGGACCGGAGUGGACGCAUCACUGGUGUUCGGGUUGUCAUGCCAAUGGCACUGCCCGGUAGCUAAAUGCGGAAGAGAUAAGUGCUGAAAGCAUCUAAGCACGAAACUUGCCCCGAGAUGAGUUCUCCCUGACUCCUUGAGAGUCCUGAAGGAACGUUGAAGACGACGACGUUGAUAGGCCGGGUGUGUAAGCGCAGCGAUGCGUUGAGCUAACCGGUACUAAUGAACCGUGAGGCUUAACCUUACAACGCCG
Molecule: ribosomal RNA, 2536 nt
Filed under: Escherichia coli
Lineage: Bacteria; Pseudomonadati; Pseudomonadota; Gammaproteobacteria; Enterobacterales; Enterobacteriaceae
Description: partial 23S ribosomal RNA
Rfam family: Bacterial large subunit ribosomal RNA
Source: RNAcentral